Molecule: unclassified non-coding RNA, 294 nt
Filed under: uncultured bacterium
Lineage: Bacteria
Description: partial contains 16S ribosomal RNA and 16S-23S ribosomal RNA intergenic spacer region
Rfam family: Bacterial small subunit ribosomal RNA
Source: RNAcentral
UGCCUAAGGGAGCAAGUCGAGCGAAUCAAAGGGAGCUUGCUCCCUGAGGUUAUUGCCCGACGGGUGAGUAACAAAUGGGCAACCUGCCUAUAAGACUGGGAUAACUUCGGGAAACCGGUGCUAAUACCGGAUAAUUCUUUUCCUCCCAUGAGGGAAAGCUGAAAGUCGGCUUCGGCUGACACUUACAGAUGGGCCCGCGGCGCAUUAGCUAGUUGGUGAGGUAACGGCUCACCAAGGCGACGAUGCGUAGCCGACCUGAGAGGGUGAUCGGCCACACUGGGACUGAGACACGGC